Molecule: unclassified non-coding RNA, 687 nt
Filed under: uncultured Prochlorococcus sp.
Lineage: Bacteria; Bacillati; Cyanobacteriota; Cyanophyceae; Synechococcales; Prochlorococcaceae
Description: partial may contain 16S ribosomal RNA, 16S-23S ribosomal RNA intergenic spacer, and 23S ribosomal RNA
Rfam family: Bacterial small subunit ribosomal RNA (bases 1-97)
Source: RNAcentral
ACCCUUGUGGAGGAGGACGCCGAAGGUGGGGCUAAUGACUGGGGUGAAGUCGUAACAAGGUAGCCGUACCGGAAGGUGCGGCUGGAUCACCUCCUAACAGGGAGACAACAAAAUGUUUAAUAUUAUUAUUUUGUCACCUUAGGUCGAUCGGUAUCUCACGUUCUUAAUUUGUUAAGAAUUUCAUUUCCUAAGUUUUUCUAGGUCACACCCAUUAUUUUUCCUGGGCCAUUAGCUCAGGUGGUUAGAGCGCACCCCUGAUAAGGGUGAGGUCCCUGGUUCAAGUCCAGGAUGGCCCAUAUCUCUAUGUUGGGGGUAUAGCUCAGUUGGUAGAGCGCCUGCUUUGCAAGCAGGAUGUCAGCGGUUCGAGUCCGCUUACCUCCACUGAUUACCACCUCUUCCAUAACAGGUAGAAAGGAAAUGUUUUGAAUUGUGAUCAUUAUUCUGAACGAAUCUAGCUUCCUAAUGAAAUCAUUAAGAUGCUGGACUCAUUGAAUUAAUUUCAUUGUUUUCAGAGAACCUUGACAACUGCAUAGAUUAUUUUUAAAGACAAUAAGCAUCUUUAAUGAUGCAGAUUUAUUAUUUGUGCUAAUGCAUUAAUAACAAUUCUAUUAAGCUGAUGCUUCAAUUUUUGAAGUUAUUGGUCAAGCUACAAAGGGCUCACGGAGGAUACCUAGGCACACAGAGGCG